This 1086-nucleotide ribosomal RNA is filed under the name Enterococcus faecium. RNAcentral's name for it is "bacterial SSU rRNA". It matches the Rfam family "Bacterial small subunit ribosomal RNA", at positions 153 to 1226 of the family's 1533-position model. Lineage: Bacteria; Bacillati; Bacillota; Bacilli; Lactobacillales; Enterococcaceae. The record is from RNAcentral.
GAAACAGGUGCUAAUACCGUAUAACAAUCAAAACCGCAUGGUUUUGAUUUGAAAGGCGCUUUCGGGUGUCGCUGAUGGAUGGACCCGCGGUGCAUUAGCUAGUUGGUGAGGUAACGGCUCACCAAGGCCACGAUGCAUAGCCGACCUGAGAGGGUGAUCGGCCACAUUGGGACUGAGACACGGCCCAAACUCCUACGGGAGGCAGCAGUAGGGAAUCUUCGGCAAUGGACGAAAGUCUGACCGAGCAACGCCGCGUGAGUGAAGAAGGUUUUCGGAUCGUAAAACUCUGUUGUUAGAGAAGAACAAGGAUGAGAGUAACUGUUCAUCCCUUGACGGUAUCUAACCAGAAAGCCACGGCUAACUACGUGCCAGCAGCCGCGGUAAUACGUAGGUGGCAAGCGUUGUCCGGAUUUAUUGGGCGUAAAGCGAGCGCAGGCGGUUUCUUAAGUCUGAUGUGAAAGCCCCCGGCUCAACCGGGGAGGGUCAUUGGAAACUGGGAGACUUGAGUGCAGAAGAGGAGAGUGGAAUUCCAUGUGUAGCGGUGAAAUGCGUAGAUAUAUGGAGGAACACCAGUGGCGAAGGCGGCUCUCUGGUCUGUAACUGACGCUGAGGCUCGAAAGCGUGGGGAGCAAACAGGAUUAGAUACCCUGGUAGUCCACGCCGUAAACGAUGAGUGCUAAGUGUUGGAGGGUUUCCGCCCUUCAGUGCUGCAGCUAACGCAUUAAGCACUCCGCCUGGGGAGUACGACCGCAAGGUUGAAACUCAAAGGAAUUGACGGGGGCCCGCACAAGCGGUGGAGCAUGUGGUUUAAUUCGAAGCAACGCGAAGAACCUUACCAGGUCUUGACAUCCUUUGACCACUCUAGAGAUAGAGCUUCCCCUUCGGGGGCAAAGUGACAGGUGGUGCAUGGUUGUCGUCAGCUCGUGUCGUGAGAUGUUGGGUUAAGUCCCGCAACGAGCGCAACCCUUAUUGUUAGUUGCCAUCAUUCAGUUGGGCACUCUAGCAAGACUGCCGGUGACAAACCGGAGGAAGGUGGGGAUGACGUCAAAUCAUCAUGCCCCUUAUGACCUGGGCUACACACGUGCU